Molecule: ribosomal RNA, 1788 nt
Filed under: Salmonella enterica subsp. enterica serovar Paratyphi A
Lineage: Bacteria; Pseudomonadati; Pseudomonadota; Gammaproteobacteria; Enterobacterales; Enterobacteriaceae
Source: RNAcentral
ACGGAGAAGGCUAUGUUGGCCGGGCGACGGUUGUCCCGGUUUAAGCGUGUAGGUGUGUGUUCCAGGUAAAUCCGGUUCACUUUAACACUGAGGCGUGACGACGAGGCACUACGGUGCUGAAGCAACAAAUGCCCUGCUUCCAGGAAAAGCCUCUAAGCAUCAGGUAACAUCAAAUCGUACCCCAAACCGACACAGGUGGUCAGGUAGAGAAUACCAAGGCGCUUGAGAGAACUCGGGUGAAGGAACUAGGCAAAAUGGUGCCGUAACUUCGGGAGAAGGCACGCUGACACGUAGGUGAAGUGAUUUACUCAUGGAGCUGAAGUCAGUCGAAGAUACCAGCUGGCUGCAACUGUUUAUUAAAAACACAGCACUGUGCAAACACGAAAGUGGACGUAUACGGUGUGACGCCUGCCCGGUGCCGGAAGGUUAAUUGAUGGGGUCAGCGCAAGCGAAGCUCCUGAUCGAAGCCCCGGUAAACGGCGGCCGUAACUAUAACGGUCCUAAGGUAGCGAAAUUCCUUGUCGGGUAAGUUCCGACCUGCACGAAUGGCGUAAUGAUGGCCAGGCUGUCUCCACCCGAGACUCAGUGAAAUUGAACUCGCUGUGAAGAUGCAGUGUACCCGCGGCAAGACGGAAAGACCCCGUGAACCUUUACUAUAGCUUGACACUGAACAUUGAGCCUUGAUGUGUAGGAUAGGUGGGAGGCUUUGAAGUGUGGACGCCAGUCUGCAUGGAGCCGACCUUGAAAUACCACCCUUUAAUGUUUGAUGUUCUAACGUGGACCCGUUACCCGGGUUGCGGACAGUGUCUGGUGGGUAGUUUGACUGGGGCGGUCUCCUCCUAAAGAGUAACGGAGGAGCACGAAGGUUGGCUAAUCCUGGUCGGACAUCAGGAGGUUAGUGCAAUGGCAUAAGCCAGCUUGACUGCGAGCGUGACGGCGCGAGCAGGUGCGAAAGCAGGUCAUAGUGAUCCGGUGGUUCUGAAUGGAAGGGCCAUCGCUCAACGGAUAAAAGGUACUCCGGGGAUAACAGGCUGAUACCGCCCAAGAGUUCAUAUCGACGGCGGUGUUUGGCACCUCGAUGUCGGCUCAUCACAUCCUGGGGCUGAAGUAGGUCCCAAGGGUAUGGCUGUUCGCCAUUUAAAGUGGUACGCGAGCUGGGUUUAGAACGUCGUGAGACAGUUCGGUCCCUAUCUGCCGUGGGCGCUGGAGAACUGAGGGGGGCUGCUCCUAGUACGAGAGGACCGGAGUGGACGCAUCACUGGUGUUCGGGUUGUCAUGCCAAUGGCACUGCCCGGUAGCUAAAUGCGGAAGAGAUAAGUGCUGAAAGCAUCUAAGCACGAAACUUGCCCCGAGAUGAGUUCUCCCUGAGACUUUAGGUCUCCUGAAGGAACGUUGAAGACGACGACGUUGAUAGGCCGGGUGUGUAAGCGCAGCGAUGCGUUGAGCUAACCGGUACUAAUGAACCGUGAGGCUUAACCUUACAACGCCGAAGAUGUUUUGGCGGAUGAGAGACGAUUUUCAGCACUGAUUCNNNNNNNNNNNNNNNNNNNNGCGGAUGAGAGACGAUUUUCAGCACUGAUUCAGAUUACAUCAGAACGUAAAAACGGUCUGAUAACAGAAUUUGCCUGGCGGCAGUAGCGCGGUGGUCCCACCUGANNNNNNNNNNNNNNNNNNNNUAGCGCGGUGGUCCCACCUGACCCCAUGCCGAACUCAGAAGUGAAACGCCGUAGCGCCGAUGGUAGUGUGGGGUCUCCCCAUGCGAGAGUAGGGAACUGCCAGGCAUCAAAU